RNAcentral lists this unclassified non-coding RNA (147 nucleotides) under soil metagenome. Its description in RNAcentral is "partial internal transcribed spacer 1". The record is from RNAcentral.
CCGAGUUUACAACUCCCAAACCCCUGUGAACAUACCAAUUGUUGCCUCGGCGGAUCAGCCCGCUCCCGGUAAAACGGGACAGCCCGCCAGAGGACCCCUAAACUCUGUUUCUAUAUGUAACUUCUGAGUAAAACCAUAAAUAAAUCA